RNAcentral lists this ribosomal RNA (397 nucleotides) under uncultured bacterium. RNAcentral's name for it is "partial 16S ribosomal RNA". It matches the Rfam family "Bacterial small subunit ribosomal RNA", at positions 523 to 918 of the family's 1533-position model. The record is from RNAcentral.
AUACGUAGGGGGCGAGCGUUGUCCGGAAUGAUUGGGCGUAAAGGGCGCGUAGGCGGCCCGGUAAGUCUGGAGUGAAAGUCCUGUUUUUAAGAUGGGAAUUGCUUUGGAUACUGUCGGGCUUGAGUGCAGGAGAGGUAAGUGGAAUUCCCAGUGUAGCGGUGAAAUGCGUAGAGAUUGGGAGGAACACCAGUGGCGAAGGCGACUUACUGGACUGUAACUGACGCUGAGGCGCGAAAGUGUGGGGAGCAAACAGGAUUAGAUACCCUGGUAGUCCACACUGUAAACGAUGAAUGCUAGGUGUAGGGGGUAUCGACCCCCUCUGUGCCGCAGUCAACACAAUAAGCAUUCCGCCUGGGGAGUACGGCCGCAAGGUUGAAACUCAAAGGAAUUGACGGGG